GGGUUGCUGUUGUUUCGCCCAGCUCUCUGCAGCGGAGCCCCAGGCAGUAACUUUCACCCGGACUCAGGUAGAAGGCCCUGAGGGUUGUGGUUCGGAGGACUCUGCUCUCUGAGCCCGGCCGGGCUGCGGCUUCUGGGAGCCUUGGACUCUGCGCUCCUACCCCUGAGGUCCGAGUGAUCUCGGGUUCUGGCUUUUGAGGGGAGCCGUACCUUUUGAACCGGGUCCAGGUCCAGGAGGAGGGUUCCCAGGGUCUGUGCUGUUGAUCGUUUUGAAUUUCGGCGCCUUAGGAGCUUAUAUUUUGAGAUCAGUCGGGAAGGGUUUUCCGGAGAUCUGAGCUUUAGCUUUCUCUAAGCCGCCAUCUUAACCGGAAGUCCUGACCAGUAAAUUUUUUGUAGUUUUAUGCAGAAUUCCAAAGGAAACUGAAAUCUAAAUGCCUUUUCUUCUUGAUUCCAUGCCCUCUGGAAGAAUCCACAAUCAUUCACCACUAUGUGGCCCAGUGGAUAGAUAGGGUGCCGGAGUCAGGGUCAGGAAGACCCAAGUUCAAAUUCUGUCUCAGACACUACAUCAGCUGCAUGACUCCAGAUUUGUUUAACAGAUCCACCGAAGAACUAUCAAAAGGAGAGCAACCAACACUGGGAAGGGCUUUGAGUAAAUCCAAGCCAUAUAAAGGUCAGUUGAAAGUUGCAUUUAGGUUGGAGAAAAAGGGUCUCAGGAGGACCUGACAUCUGUCUUUAAAUAUCUGAAGGACUGUUUUGGGAAAGAAAGAUAGUGAAACAUUUUCAUAAGGCUUUUUUCCA
This is a long non-coding RNA of Monodelphis domestica (gray short-tailed opossum), 797 nucleotides long. NCBI's taxonomy places the organism in Eukaryota, Metazoa, Chordata, Mammalia, Didelphimorphia, Didelphidae. The record is from Ensembl.